This 1148-nucleotide ribosomal RNA is filed under the name human gut metagenome. Its description in RNAcentral is "bacterial SSU rRNA". It matches the Rfam family "Bacterial small subunit ribosomal RNA", at positions 366 to 1520 of the family's 1533-position model. The record is from RNAcentral.
CGGCAAUGGGGGAAACCCUGACCGAGCAACGCCGCGUGAAUGAUGAAGGUCUUCGGAUUGUAAAAUUCUGUGGUAAGAGAAGAAAGAUAUAAAGAGGAAAUGCUUUGUAUUUGACGGUAUCUUGCUAGAAAGCCACGGCUAACUACGUGCCAGCAGCCGCGGUAAUACGUAGGUGGCAAGCGUUAUCCGGAAUUACUGGGCGUAAAGAGUGAGCAGGCGGUUAGAUAAGUCUAUGGUUAAAUGCAACAGCUCAACUAUUGUUCGCUAUAGAAACUAUUUAACUAGAGUGCGGGAGAGGUAAGUGGAACUCCAUAUGUAGCGGUGGAAUGCUUAGAUAUAUGGAAGAACACCAGAGGCGAAGGCGGCUUACCAGUCCGUAACUGACGCUCAGUCACGAAAGCGUGGGGAGCAAAUAGGAUUAGAUAUCCUAGUAGUCCACGCCGUAAACGAUGAGAACCUGAUGCAGGAGAUAUUCUGUGUCGAAGCUAACGCGUUAAGUUCUCCGCCUGGGUACUACGUUCGCAAGAAUAAAACUUAAAGGAAUUGACGGGCGCCCGCACAAGCAGUGGAGCAUGGGGUUUAAUUCGUCGAUACACGAAAAACCUUACCAGGGCUUGACAUCCCGCUAAAAGCCUUAGAAAUAAGGAAAUAGUUAUAGCGGUGACAGGUGGUGCAUGGUUGUCGUCAGCUCGUGCCGUGAGGUGUUAGGUUAAGUCCUCAAACGAGCGCAACCCUUGUCUUUAGUUGCCAUUAUUAAUUUAGGAACUCUAGAGAGACUGCCGGCGCAAGCCGGAGGAAGGCGGGGAUGACGUCAAAUCAUCAUGCCCUUUAUGCCCUGGGCCACACCCGUGCUACAAUGGUCGGUACAAAGAGAAGCAACACUGUGAGGUGAAGCAAAUCCCAUAAAGCCGAUCUCAAUUCGGAUUGAAGUCUGCAACUCGACUUCAUGAAGCUGGAAUUGCUAGUAAUCGCAGAUCAGCAACGCUGCGGUGAAUACGUUCUCGGGCGUUGUACACACUGCCCGUCACACCAUGAGAGCCGGUAAUACUCGAAGUCGUUAGCCUAACCGUAAGGAGGGCGGCGCCUAAGGUAGGACUGGUGAUUGGGGUUAAGUCGUAACAAGGUAUCCCUACGAGAACGUGGGGAUG